GACGAACGCUGGCGGCGUGCUUAACACAUGCAAGUCGAACGGAAAGGCCCUGCUUUUGUGGUGUGCUCGAGUGGCGAACGGGUGAGUAACACGUGAGUAACCUGCCCUUGACUUUGGUAUAACUUCAGGAAACUGGGGCUAAUACCGGAUAGGAGCUCCUGCUGCAUGGUGGGGGUUGGAAAGUUUCGGCGGUUGGGGAUGGACUCGCGGCUUAUCAGCUUGUUGGUGGGGUAGUGGCUUACCAAGGCUUUGACGGGUAGCCGGCCUGAGAGGGGGAACGGCCACAUUGGGACUGAGAUACGGCCCAGACUCCUACGGGAGGCAGCAGUGGGGAAUAUUGCACAAUGGGCGGAAGCCUGAGGCAGCAACGCCGCGUGCGGGAUGACGGCCUGCGGGUUGUAAACCGCUUUCGCCUGUGACGAAGCGUGAGUGACGGUAAUGGGUAAAGAAGCACCGGCUAACUACGUG
RNAcentral lists this ribosomal RNA (468 nucleotides) under uncultured bacterium. RNAcentral's name for it is "partial 16S ribosomal RNA". It matches the Rfam family "Bacterial small subunit ribosomal RNA", at positions 28 to 507 of the family's 1533-position model. The record is from RNAcentral.